This 64-nucleotide transfer RNA is filed under the name Calliophis nigrescens khandallensis. RNAcentral's name for it is "tRNA-His". Lineage: Eukaryota; Metazoa; Chordata; Lepidosauria; Squamata; Elapidae. The record is from RNAcentral.
UGUGCGUAAUUUAAAAAAAUAUCAGGCUGUGAUCCUGAAAAUAGGAAACAUACCCUCGCACACC